AGCGAACGCUGGCGGCAGGCCUAACACAUGCAAGUCGAACGAACUCUUCGGAGUUAGUGGCGGACGGGUGAGUAACACGUGGGAACGUGCCUUUUGGUUCGGAAUAACUCAGGGAAACUUGUGCUAAUACCGAAUGUGCCCUUCGGGGGAAAGAUUUAUCGCCAUUAGAGCGGCCCGCGUCUGAUUAGCUAGUUGGUGAGGUAACGGCUCACCAAGGCGACGAUCAGUAGCUGGUCUGAGAGGAUGACCAGCCACACUGGGACUGAGACACGGCCCAGACUCCUACGGGAAGCAGCAGUGGGGAAUCUUGCGAAAUGGGCGAAAGCCUGACGCAGCCAUGCCGCGUGAAUGAUGAAGGUCUUAGGAUUGUAAAAUUCUUUCACCGGGGACGAUAAUGACGGUACCCGGAGAAGAAGCCCCGGCUAACUUCGUG
RNAcentral lists this ribosomal RNA (433 nucleotides) under uncultured bacterium. RNAcentral describes it as "partial 16S ribosomal RNA". It matches the Rfam family "Bacterial small subunit ribosomal RNA", at positions 29 to 507 of the family's 1533-position model. The record is from RNAcentral.